RNAcentral lists this ribosomal RNA (492 nucleotides) under uncultured bacterium. RNAcentral describes it as "partial 16S ribosomal RNA". It matches the Rfam family "Bacterial small subunit ribosomal RNA", at positions 29 to 507 of the family's 1533-position model. The record is from RNAcentral.
AGUGAACGCUGGCGGUAGGCCUAACACAUGCAAGUCGAACGGCCGCACAGUAAGCGCUUGCUCUUACGGGUGGCGAGUGGCGGACGGGUGAGGAAUACAUCGGAAUCUACUUUUUCUUGGGGGAUAACGUAGAGCAACUUACGCUACUACCGCAUACGACCUACCGGUGAAAGCAAGAGAUAUUCGCACCUUGCGCGAUUGAAUUAGCCGAUGUCGGAUUAGCUAGUUGGGGGGGUAAAGGCCCACCAAGGCGACGAUCCGUAGCUGGCCUGAGAGGAUGAUCAGCCACACUGGAACUGAGACACGGUCCAGACUCCUACGGGAGGCAGCAGUGGGGAAUAUUGGACAAUGGGCGAAAGCCUGAUCCAGCAAUACCGCGUGGGUGAAGAAGGCCUUCGGGUUGUAAAGCUCUGUUGUUGGGAAAGAAAAGAAGUAGGUUAAUACCUGGCUGUUCUGACGGUACCCAAAGAAUAAGCACCGGCUAACUUCGUG